CCUACGGGCGGCAGCAGUGAGGAAUAUUGGUCAAUGGGCGCGAGCCUGAACCAGCCAAGUAGCGUGAAGGAUGACUGCCCUACGGGUUGUAAACUUCUUUUAUAAGGGAAUAAAGUGAGGCACGUGUGCCUUUUUGUAUGUACUUUAUGAAUAAGGAUCGGCUAACUCCGUGCCAGCAGCCGCGGUAAUACGGAGGAUCCGAGCGUUAUCCGGAUUUAUUGGGUUUAAAGGGAGCGUAGGUGGGUUGUUAAGUCAGUUGUGAAAGUUUGCGGCUCAACCGUAAAAUUGCAAUUGAUACUGGCAGCCUUGAGUGCGGUUGAGGUAGGCGGAAUGCGUGGUGUAGCGGUGAAAUGCUUAGAUAUCACGAAGAACUCCGAUUGCGAAGGCAGCCUACUGGACUGCCACUGACGUUGAUGCUCGAAAGUGUGGGUAUCAAACAGGAUUAGAUACCCUAGUAGUC
This 460-nucleotide ribosomal RNA is filed under the name uncultured bacterium. Its description in RNAcentral is "partial 16S ribosomal RNA". It matches the Rfam family "Bacterial small subunit ribosomal RNA", at positions 338 to 795 of the family's 1533-position model. The record is from RNAcentral.